GAUGAACGCUGGCGGCGUGCCUAAUACAUGCAAGUCGAGCGAACGGACGAGAAGCUUGCUUUUCUGAUGUUAGCGGCGGACGGGUGAGUAACACGUGGAUAACCUACCUAUAAGACUGGGAUAACUUCGGGAAACCGGAGCUAAUACCGGAUAAUACUUUGAACCGCAUGGUUCAAAAGUGAAAGACGGUCUUGCUGUCACUUAUAGAUGGAUCCGCGCUGCAUUAGCUAGUUGGUAAGGUAACGGCUUACCAAGGCAACGAUGCAUAGCCGACCUGAGAGGGUGAUCGGCCACACUGGAACUGGGACACGGUCCAGACUCCUACGGGAGGCAGCAGUAGGGAAUCUUCCGCAAUGGGCGAAAGCCUGACGGAGCAACGCCGCGUGAGUGAUGAAGGUCUUCGGAUCGUAAAACUCUGUUAUUAGGGAAGAACAUAUGUGUAAGUAACUGUGCACAUCUUGACGGUACCUAAUCAGAAAGCCACGGCUAACUACGUG
This 497-nucleotide ribosomal RNA is filed under the name uncultured bacterium. Its description in RNAcentral is "partial 16S ribosomal RNA". It matches the Rfam family "Bacterial small subunit ribosomal RNA", at positions 28 to 507 of the family's 1533-position model. The record is from RNAcentral.